UACGAAGGGUGCAAGCGUUACUCGGAAUUACUGGGCGUAAAGCGUGCGUAGGUGGUUCGUUAAGUCUGAUGUGAAAGCCCUGGGCUCAACCUGGGAAUUGCAUUGGAAACUGGCGGGCUAGAGUACGGUAGAGGGUAGUGGAAUUCCUGGUGUAGCAGUGAAAUGCGUAGAGAUCAGGAGGAACAUCCGUGGCGAAGGCGACUACCUGGACCAGUACUGACACUGAGGCACGAAAGCGUGGGGAGCAAACAGGAUUAGAUACCCGCGUA
This 269-nucleotide ribosomal RNA is filed under the name uncultured prokaryote. RNAcentral describes it as "partial 16S ribosomal RNA". It matches the Rfam family "Bacterial small subunit ribosomal RNA", at positions 524 to 792 of the family's 1533-position model. The record is from RNAcentral.